AAGACUAUAGACCUGCGGAGUACCUGCGGAGGGAUCAUUAGUGAACGCCCUCACGGGCUUAUAACUAUUCCAAACCUCUGUGAACCGUGCCCUUCGGGGCUAUUUUACAAACAUGGUGUAAUGAACGUCAUAUAUCAUAACAAAACAAAACUUUUAACAAUGGAUCUCUAGAUC
Molecule: unclassified non-coding RNA, 174 nt
Filed under: soil metagenome
Description: partial contains 5.8S ribosomal RNA, internal transcribed spacer 2, and large subunit ribosomal RNA
Source: RNAcentral